Solanum lycopersicum (tomato) is the source of this 2441-nucleotide long non-coding RNA. RefSeq lists it as uncharacterized. Lineage: Eukaryota; Viridiplantae; Streptophyta; Magnoliopsida; Solanales; Solanaceae. The record is from RefSeq and is a predicted model, not a curated record.
UUUGGGCCAUUUUUCUCAACCCACUCUUUCAAUUUCCAAACUCCAAGCAACCCAUUUCUAUUCAAUCCCAACAGCCCAACAUCAACUUCAAAUUCAGCUGCCUUAAUCCAAUUUACAAGCCCAGCCUACCAAACAACGUCAUAACACCUUGACCCAGCCCAAAUAACCCAUAACCCGACCCAACCUUGCGCAUGAAAUUUCAUCAGUGUCUUUUGAACAGAGUAAACGGAAAACGACGCGUGAACGUCCAAGCAACCCCGAAUCAACCCUGCACGCACGCGAGAGAGAGUUGACGGAAUCAGCCACGCCGACGUUCAUAAAGAGACGAGCGGUACAGGUAGUACGUUGCAACUUUGUUUUCUUCUCCAAACGUCACUCUCAGUCACACCCGACGGAUGAUGGAAUCGAUCAAGCUGUCCGUUCCCCUUUGCUCUUUCGGAUUGUGGUAAAAGAACUCCAGAAAAAGAGAUUUCCCCAAAAAUGAGGUUGUGGAGUCGCUAUCACUACUCGUCUAUAUCCAGUAUCGCUGCAAAAAAGUAGGUAAUAGCUUCCCUUUCACGUGAUUUUAUUGUCUGCUACAGUGUUCUCUUUCAUAUUUGGAAGUGUUUGGUGAUUAAGUUUGGGGACAAGAUAAUGUUGUACUUAUAUUGUUAGAGAUUUCGUGGUCUAUCAAUAGUAGCAUUAUGUUAUAUUCAUCACCUUUUUCUCUGUACGUAUUUUAAGGCUAUUCGUCAUCUUUGUUUAAGUGUUUCCGGGGCUGCUCUUUAGCAUUUCACAAAGAAUCAUUUACAGAUCAGUAAAAGCUCUUUCUUGUGCAUUUUAACCCUUUAAUUUAAUCUCCCCAAGACCCAUGUCCGAGGAGGUUGAGAUUAGAACUUCGUACUAACUUAUCUGAUGUGGUCUCUUAAGUAAGUGAUCUGUCUUUCUCAUUUUUGCUUCAAAAAAGUGGUCUGUUUUGUCAUAGUUUUAAUAUGAACCUGUCGAAAUAAUUUACUUCAUGUAAUACUCCCUCCUUUUCGGUAUCCUCUCACCUUCGUUCCUCAUGUGAUAUUUUCAAAAUGUUGAAAAGUUUUGGUCUUAUGACCAUUCAUUGUUAAUACCUGCAAGCUUGCUGAUGAUGGGAUGUGUAUAUGUUUCUUAGUCGUUUCAGCAAUUGAGUCGCAAUGUCGAGUUAAAGCCUUUUCCAUGGGUUUAUGCUCAAUGCUGUGACCUCUCUGUUGACUGAGUUUGUGUCAGUAGCGUUCUCAUGUGAUCAAGGCAUCAGGGUGACUUUCUCAAGUAGUUUUUUUUUCUUAAACGUCCGUUGGUUGUCUGCCUCUCGGACUGAAGUUUGCUGCAUUAUUUCUCAUAUCAAACCUAUUAAAUGUUGUGUUUGUCGAUGAAGCAGUAAUUCAAAUCACUUUAAAAUUAUGAGCAAGGUAAUUUGGUAGUACCUUUGAGUUUGGGGUUUUUGUAUAGUCCAAUCUCGGGUUCUUUUAGAUAGACUUCAUUUUGUAGGUUUAUUACUUUGCUUCAAAAUUAUUGAAUCUCUUAUUGUUUCAAUGUUUGGAUCAAUGUAAGAAGGGGUUUUUAUAGUUGCAUUUUUUUUAAAAAAAAAUAUGAAGUGUGAUUUAUUUGUGAUUAAGAUCAUAACUUAAGUAUGAGAAUAUUCAUCUUGACAUAAUGUUGUUCCCUCUGUCUGUAUUUGUUCAUCUUGUUGAUUAAUGUUUAAUUUUUGCUGCUUACACGGUUAUGAAAGUGCAUAGUUGUCAUGCUGUUAAUUUGAGGCCUUCAUUUCUUUUUUUUUUCUUUAAAAAAAAAAGAUAAAUAAAAAUAAUAAAUAAAUGACUUUCGGCAGUGUUACUAUUACCAUUUGUAUUUCAAUUGAUUUGCUUUGUGAUGUUAAAUUGUGAGAAAUAUUUUGCGUCUCCUCGCUUCCCGAUUAUUCUUUGGUCGAUUAAUUAUGUUUGCAGUUUCCAUCUUCUAUUCAUUAAUUGCUUGUCGUAUACUUGUAAUCAUGCCUCUAGCUAAAAUUUGUUUGAGUUAUUUGGUAUAUACUACGUGGAUUGCCUCAUUUAUGCAACUUGUGUUUUAAAAAUAUUUUGCCAAGAGAUUGAAUCCUACCCUAUGCUAAUUCCUUUCCCUUUGCUUUGUCCGUUUCAUGUGAAUUUGUCCGUGUUAGUCAUAAACUCAAAUUGCUACCUUCGAGUUGACCCCGAAAAAGGCGUACAUGUCCUAAAGUCGGAAGGACUCAAAACUCCAAGAAGUUGAAGAUUUUGGGCCAAGAAUCCCAAAUUUAUUUUAACGUUGUAUUUUAUCAUCUUUGGGCCUACCUAAGCCCCUGUAGUCUUUUGUUUUCUAUAUUUAUUAUUUAUUAAUUGUCUGAUUAGUCUAGGACAUGUACAAAACAAAAAUAGGUCCAAAUAUCGAUACAAGCGGUCAAAAACCGAAUUUGGACCCAA